Molecule: transfer RNA, 39 nt
Filed under: Chlorogalum pomeridianum
Lineage: Eukaryota; Viridiplantae; Streptophyta; Magnoliopsida; Asparagales; Asparagaceae
Also listed under: 4 other names
Description: partial tRNA-Met
Source: RNAcentral
UUGCGGAGACAGGAUUUGAACCCGUGACCUCAAGGUUAU